UGUGAAGGUGGCCUGUGAGGGUUGCUGGAGGUAUCAGAAGUGCGAAUGCUGACAUAAGUAACGAUAAAGCGGGUGAAAAGCCCGCUCGCCGGAAGACCAAGGGUUCCUGUCCAACGUUAAUCGGGGCAGGGUGAGUCGACCCCUAAGGCGAGGCCGAAAGGCGUAGUCGAUGGGAAACGGGUUAAUAUUCCCGUACUUGGUGUUACUGCGAAGGGGGGACGGAGAAGGCUAUGUUGGCCGGGCGACGGUUGUCCCGGUUUAAGCGUGUAGGUGUGUGUUCCAGGUAAAUCCGGUUCACUUUAACACUGAGGCGUGAUGACGAGGCACUACGGUGCUGAAGCAACAAAUGCCCUGCUUCCAGGAAAAGCCUCUAAGCAUCAGGUAACAUCAAAUCGUACCCCAAACCGACACAGGUGGUCAGGUAGAGAAUACCAAGGCGCUUGAGAGAACUCGGGUGAAGGAACUAGGCAAAAUGGUGCCGUAACUUCGGGAGAAGGCACGCUGACA
RNAcentral lists this ribosomal RNA (507 nucleotides) under Salmonella enterica subsp. enterica serovar Javiana. Its description in RNAcentral is "partial 23S ribosomal RNA". It matches the Rfam family "Bacterial large subunit ribosomal RNA", at positions 1249 to 1756 of the family's 2925-position model. Lineage: Bacteria; Pseudomonadati; Pseudomonadota; Gammaproteobacteria; Enterobacterales; Enterobacteriaceae. The record is from RNAcentral.